GAUGAACGCUGGCGGCGUGCUUAACACAUGCAAGUCGAACUAAGCAUUUAAGACAGAUUACUUCGGUUUGAAGUCUUUUAUGACUGAGUGGCGGACGGGUGAGUAACGCGUGGGUAACCUGCCUCAUACAGGGGGAUAGCAGCUGGAAACGGCUGGUAAUACCGCAUAAGCGCACAGUACCACAUGGUACAGUGUGAAAAACUCCGGUGGUAUGAGAUGGACCCGCGUCUGAUUAGCUUGUUGGCGUGGUAACGGCCCACCAAGGCGACGAUCAGUAGCCGAGCUGAGAGGGUGGCCGGCCACAUUGGGACUGAGACACGGCCCAGAAUCCUACGGGAGGCAGCAGUGGGGAAUAUUGCAAAAUGGAGGAAGCUCAGAUGCAGCGACGCUGCGUGAGUGAAGAAGUAGUUCGCGAAGUAAAGCUCUAUCAGCAGGGAAGAUAGUGACGGUACCUGACUAAGAAGCUCCGGCUAAAUACGUG
RNAcentral lists this ribosomal RNA (481 nucleotides) under uncultured bacterium. RNAcentral's name for it is "partial 16S ribosomal RNA". It matches the Rfam family "Bacterial small subunit ribosomal RNA", at positions 28 to 507 of the family's 1533-position model. The record is from RNAcentral.